CGGCAACAGCUCAAAUUUGAAAGCUGGUCCUUUCAGGGCCCGCGUUGUAAUUUGUAGAGGAUGAUUCGGCGAGGGCUCCCGCCUAAGUCCCCUGGAACGGGGCGUCAUAGAGGGUGAGAAUCCCGUAUGCGGUGGGCUGCCUUAGCCAUGUGAAUCUCCUUCGACGAGUCGAGUUGUUUGGGAAUGCAGCUCUAAAUGGGAGGUAAAUUUCUUCUAAAGCUAAAUACCGGCCAGAGACCGAUAGCGCACAAGUAGAGUGAUCGAAAGAUGAAAAGCACUUUGGAAAGAGAGUUAAAAAGUACGUGAAAUUGUUGAAAGGGAAGCGCUUGCAACCAGACUUGUCCGCAGUUGCUCAGCCGGUCUCCUGACCGGCGUACUCUUCUGCGGCCAGGCCAGCAUCAGUUCGGGCGGUCGGAUAAAGGCCUCGGGAAUGUGGCUCCCUUCGGGGAGUGUUAUAGCCCGGGGCGUAAUGCGGCCAGCCUGGACUGAGGAACUCGCUUCGGCUAGGAUGCUGGCGUAAUGGUUGUAAGCGGCCCGUCUUGAAACACGGACCAAGGAGUCUAACAUCUAUGCGAGUGUUUGGGUGUCAAACCCAUACGCGUAAUGAAAGUGAACGGAGGUGGGAACCCUCACGGGUGCAC
RNAcentral lists this ribosomal RNA (641 nucleotides) under Eutiarosporella africana. RNAcentral describes it as "eukaryotic LSU rRNA". It matches the Rfam family "Eukaryotic large subunit ribosomal RNA", at positions 99 to 758 of the family's 3401-position model. Lineage: Eukaryota; Fungi; Ascomycota; Dothideomycetes; Botryosphaeriales; Botryosphaeriaceae. The record is from RNAcentral.